CGCUGUACUGGCACUGCUGCAGCUCCUGUUCCCUGCACUGUAGGAAGGGCUGUCGAGUUCAUUGCAGGCCAUCCUUUACCUGCUCAAGAAUUCUUCUCAUCCAUAUUUAUGUUUUGUUUGUUGGUUUGCUCUGGUUUUAGUAUUGGGUAGGGAGAUGGUCUCGAGCUCGAGCUUUGAAGUAGAUUUAAUUUACACAGGUCUACCUCCAAAUGGAAUGUAAUUGCUUUAUUUGUUUGUGUCUAUUCAUCUAUAGAGAG
RNAcentral lists this long non-coding RNA (257 nucleotides) under Elaeis guineensis (African oil palm). RNAcentral describes it as "long non-coding RNA (EGUI_LNC040234)". The record is from RNAcentral. Lineage: Eukaryota; Viridiplantae; Streptophyta; Magnoliopsida; Arecales; Arecaceae.